GACGAACGCUGGCGGCGUGCUUAACACAUGCAAGUCGAGCGGUAAGGCCCCUUCGGGGGUACACGAGCGGCGAACGGGUGAGUAACACGUGAGCAAUCUGCCCAUCACAUCGGGAUAACUCCGGGAAACCGAAGCUAAUACCGAAUACGACCACCUCCGGCAUCGGAUGGUGGUGGAAAGUUCCGGCGGUGAUGGAUGAGCUCGCGGCCUAUCAGCUUGUUGGUGGGGUAACGGCCCACCAAGGCUUCGACGGGUAGCCGGCCUGAGAGGGUGACCGGCCGCACUGGGACUGAGACACGGCCCAGACUCCUACGGGAGGCAGCAGUGGGGAAUAUUGGACAAUGGGCGAAAGCCUGAUCCAGCAACGCCGCGUGAGGGAUGACGGCCUUCGGGUUGUAAACCUCUUUCAGCAGGGACGAAGCGCAAGUGACGGUACCUGCAGAAGAAGCACCGGCCAACUACGUG
This 465-nucleotide ribosomal RNA is filed under the name uncultured bacterium. Its description in RNAcentral is "partial 16S ribosomal RNA". It matches the Rfam family "Bacterial small subunit ribosomal RNA", at positions 28 to 507 of the family's 1533-position model. The record is from RNAcentral.